AUUCUUUUUUUUUCACUUUUUUACUUUUCAAUUCUUCCAUAUACAAAGAAAUAACAAGUUGACUAAAUUUUCUCUACUUUUUGAGAUCUUGAUUGUUAUUUGCAUUAUAAUCAUGAUCAUGCUAUAAUCUUAUGUUUGCAGAGAUAGCACCUUAAAUUAUUAAAAACAGUUUAUAUGCAGUACCAAAUUUGUUUUUUAAAAAACAUUCUAUGAUGUAGAAAAAUAUAUUUUUCUUUUACAGAUAAGCUCUAGGGGGAGUCCACUACACCUUAGAUUAUUCAGCUAGAAUAUGGUCUUAAAUCCUAAAUAAACAGUCCUGUUUUUCCAAGUGCACAUUCAGGUAUCCACAUCACAUCACACGACAUUAUCACAUCACAAUCAUUACAUCAUCACAUCAUGUCACAAUCACAUCACAUCAUCAUAUCACAGUCACAUCACAAUCACAUCACAUCAUCACAUCACAAUCACAUCAUCACAUCACAAUCACAUCACAUCACAAUCACAUCAUAUCAUCACAUCACAUCACAAUCACAUCACAUCAUCACAUCACAACACAAUCACAUCACAUCAUCACAUCACAAUCACAUCAUCACAUCACGUCACAAUCACAUCACAAUCACAUCACCACAUCACAAUCACAUCACAAUUACAUCACAUCAUCACAUCACAUCAUCACAUCACAAUCACAUCACAUCAUCACAAUCACAUCACAAUCACAUCACAUCAUCACAUCACAAUCACAUCAUAUCACAAUCACAUCACAUCAUCACAUCACAAUCACAUCACAUCAUCACAUCACAAUCACAUCACAUCACCACAAUCACAUCACAAUCACAUCACAUCAUCACAUCACAAUCACAUCAUAUCACAAUCACAUCACAAUCACAUCACAUCACAUCAUCACAUCACAUCAUCACAUCACAAUCACAUCACAUCAUCACAUCACAAUCAUAUUACAGUCACAUCACAUCAUCACAUAACCUCACAUCAUCACAUCGCAUCACAUCACAUCAGUCAAUCAGGCAGGCAGCUCCUGACCUACA
Molecule: long non-coding RNA, 1043 nt
Filed under: Equus caballus (horse)
Lineage: Eukaryota; Metazoa; Chordata; Mammalia; Perissodactyla; Equidae
Description: lncRNA (ENSECAG00000049652.1)
Source: RNAcentral